This is an RNA transcript of Hyaena hyaena (striped hyena), 4468 nucleotides long. It is a transcript of the gene named lysophosphatidylglycerol acyltransferase 1, with no coding region annotated. The transcript has 10 exons. The record is from RefSeq and is a predicted model, not a curated record. Lineage: Eukaryota; Metazoa; Chordata; Mammalia; Carnivora; Hyaenidae.
CGGGCCACGCCGCAGCCGGAGCGCGGCCGGGCCCCGCCGCCGCCUCCUUCCGCCGGCCCGGCCGCCGGCCAUGCAUUCUUCCGGCUUCUCUGACUCCCGAAGCGCGGGCCGGGCCCCGGCCAGCCCGAGACAGCCGCGAGGGUUAUAGGGCGCCCGCUCGCGCCGCGCCUCAGCCGCCGCCGCGUAAAUGACUGCGACCCCUCGGCCGGGGACACCCGCCGCCGCCGCCGCCGCCGCGCAGCACCGCGCCCCGGGCCGCCGGCCCCCGGCCCUGCUUGUCCCCGCGCUCCACCGCCCGCCGUCCGCGCCAGCCGAGAAAGACAGGACGGACGCCAAUGUGAGAAUGGCUGUGACUUUGGAAGAAGCUCCGUGGCUGGGCUGGAUCUUGGUGAAAGCCCUGUUGAGGUUUGCCUUCAUGGUCGCCAACAACCUGGUUGCUCUUUUAUCCUACGUGUGCUAUGUAAUUGUACUUCAGCCCCUUCGACUGCUGGACAGUAAGCGGUUCUGGUAUAUUGAAGGAAUCAUGUAUAAAUGGCUUUUAGGAAUGGUGGCUUCUUGGGGAUGGUAUGCUGGAUAUACAGUGAUGGAAUGGGGGGAAGAUAUUAAAGCAGUUUCCAAAGAUGAAGCAGUAAUGUUGGUGAAUCAUCAGGCAACAGGAGAUGUAUGCACUCUGAUGAUGUGCCUCCAGGACAAAGGACUGGUUGUUGCUCAAAUGAUGUGGUUGAUGGACCAUAUUUUUAAGUACACAAACUUUGGGAUUGUUUCUCUAAUUCAUGGAGACUUCUUUAUAAGACAGGGAAAAUCGCAUCGUGACCAGCAGCUUCUUCUUCUCAAAAAGCACCUAGAAAAUAAUUAUAGGAGCAGAGAUCGAAAAUGGAUUGUUUUGUUUCCAGAAGGGGGCUUCCUCAGGAAGAGGCGAGAAACAAGUCAAGCUUUUGCCAAGAAAAAUAACUUGCCAUUUCUUACACAUGUCACUCUGCCAAGGAUUGGGGCAACAAGCAUUAUUUUGAGUGCACUUGUAGCACGACAGGAAAAUGGAAGUCCAGCAGGAGGAGACACUAAAGAAUUCGAGAGCAAAUCAAAAGGCCUCCAGUGGAUAAUAGAUACAACUAUAGCUUAUCCCAAAGCUGAACCCAUAGAUAUUCAAACCUGGAUCCUUGGAUACAGGAAACCAACAGUCACACAUGUACAUUACAGGAUCUUUCCAAUUAAAGAUGUACCCCUGGAGACUGAUGGCCUCUCUAAUUGGCUCUAUCAACGUUUUAUUGAAAAAGAGGAACUUUUAUCACAUUUUUAUGAAACAGGGGCUUUUCCACCUCCCAAGGGCCAUAAGGAAGCUGUUUCCAAGGAGAUGACCCUCAGCAAUAUGUGGAUAUUUCUCAUACAGUCUUUUGCAUUUUUGUCAGGCUAUAUGUGGUAUAACAUCAUUCAGUAUUUCUACCAUUGCCUGUUUUAGGAAUUGACUGGGACUUGUCAAGGUCACCAUAGGAGUUCAGACUUUCAUAAGCGUGCAUUAUUUUACAUGUGCAAAUCAGAAUAUAAAAAAAAAAAAGCAAAGGAAAUUCAAUGGAUGGAUUACUAUUUAUCCCCCUUUGGGAUAUUUUAAAACUCUACUAAAAUGAGGAUCAGUAAUAUAAUGACCUGCUAAUAUGUUUUAAGGACUUUCCAUGUUUUCAAAAGAUACACUGUACCACACAUUUAAGCCAACAUCACAUUCAGAGAAGAGGAAAUCAUAAAAUCAUCCUAGAAGACUAUCUGAGAGAAACGCCGUUGCCACUAGAUGUACUUGGUAAUCUAGUUCAAGCUCAGAAAGUUGUAUCCAUUCCUCUUAGCUCGUAGCGUCUCUUAGGGCAGUGCUGUAGAGCCCCCUCAUUUCCACCGGCCCUGGCCGUGUCCCUGGGAGCCCCGAGGCAGGGGUACCCUCUGAGGACCUGUUCCCCUGUGGUUUGCAGUGACACUCCAGUGUCAGUGUCAGGCCUGCUCAUGGGGGGACAGCAGUGUCCACUGGACACAUCCUGGUACUAGAAUGUGUUUCUAAAAAAGGCUAGCUCAGUCCAAUAUCGUGUUUACAUGUGCUAGUGCUUUCCCUUAUAUGAGGGGGGUCACUUGAUUUCUCUUUUUGUAUAGAAGGCAUAUCAUAGAUUGAUAAUUGUCUUUUACAAAAUGCACUUUUAUCAGAUGCAUAUAUAGCAAAGGAUUAAUAAUAUAGCCUGAAAACCAGCGUAAGCCUAGUCGGUAAGUGACGUUCUCGAGAGGCUGUGCUGUCUCCGCGUGUGUACCUGGGCGUGGAAGCCCUGCAGGCUGCCUGCUCUGAGCACCGCUGGUGUGAGGCUUCCGUUGAGCUCCGAGGCGUUUGUCUCCCAUUUUGGCUUAUUAGCACCAAUGCUCGGGGACGGCUGAAACUAAUGUAAGACAUUUAAAUGAUCAGUUUGAGGUGGAACAGGGGUUGGAUCAGAAAAACAGGAGCUAGAGCCAGAUAUGGGCUCAAAAUGGUGACAAGCUCUUACAUGGCACCCCUGAACCCGUUCUCCAUUGUCACAUCAGGUUGCUGCCGUGCCAGAGUGAUGUGACCAGGAUUCAGACCAGCACAAAAGGCUUCCCCUGUCUCUUCCCAUUGUUUUUAAGAAGAAUAAAGUCAAGUCUCUAUUCCUAGAGAACAUUUUUUCCCACUAUGUUCAUGUGAUUUACCUCAUAGUAGAACCAGACUCUUCCCACAAAGCACUGGGACCGCAUCCACCCUUCCCCUGCACCCUCAGAGUUGAGACAGAGCGUGUGUUUGGGUUUGGGACUGUAGGACUUUUAAGAUACUAGUAAGUCAGGGGUAGUUUUCUGAGAUAUGAGCAGUGUAGAUUCCCCUGUUGUCGCUAAUCGUACAAAUGGCAAUUUUGAGAAGUAGGCCAGAAAAUAAAAAUAGAGGCUCAUGUUUUCUAUUUUUAAAUAAACCAAAAAAAGAAACUGAAAAGAUAUGAAUUUUCUCCCAGUUAUGUGGGAAAGCUAAAGCAACACCAAAUAAAAGUCCACAGCAGCCUCGUCUUUAGGUUAAUUCCGUGCAUAUAUGAAAGAGAAUAAUGUGUUAAUGAAAUACCUCAUUGCAUAUUAUGCUACUACUGGUAAAAUGCAGAAGAUGGUGUUAAUGCAUUUGCUUUGGUAGUGGUUGUUAUAAGAUGCGAUUUUUUUUUUUUGAAAUCUAGACAUUUUAUUGUAUGUUUUACAGUGACAGUGAGUUGAGUAGGUGAAAUCAAUCUCAAUUAAGAGGCAUGGAUAAUGAUAGGAAGCCAAAGAGAAGCUUCUGUUUGAGGCCCAGCAAACACUGGUAGAUUACAGGAUGAAUUGAAAUUGUUCAUUUGAGGGAUUAGUCAGCCAUCUGGGGGAUAAGUUGCUCACUGUCAGAUAUGGCAUACACAGUCCUAGCUAAAUAGACCUUUUUCUCAUUGCUAAAGCAAGCCACAGGUAGGAGUGGCCAAUUCUCCUAUCAAGAAAAAAAAAAGAGAGAGAGAGAGAGAAAUGCAUACAAGCAUACAUAGAUGUGAUUUAGAGCCACUAUUGCCAUCACUGUGGUCCAAAGGAACGUGAUAUUGUUAAUAUACUGUACACAUUAAACCAACUAUUCUAUAAGACGCUUUAAUUUUCAAGUGCAGAGUCAUUUCAACAGUCUCUAGAGUGACAGAUACCAAUAGAUACGUGAGUUCAUUUUUGAAAAUAGACCUGUGGGAUGUAAAUAGAUGUGUAGUUGACCUGUGUAUCCCUCUUUGAUUGUUUAUCAACGUGUUCUCUCUCUUCUGUUUGCAAAAUACGUUCAUUUGAGAGCAUCGAUAGUGCUUUCCUCACCAGUAACUGGAGUUCUGCUCGCACUAGGGAAUGUGAAGAAAGAAUCAGUAUUCUUAUAUGGUGAAUCAGGGAAGCAGCAAUACGCCACUGUACAGAACUGGAUAAAAAUUCCUAAUUUGUACUUUCUUUGCAAAGUGAGAUGAAAGGCGGUUGAGAGACUGUACAUUUUGUUAAGGGGAAAAAAUAAAACUGUGCCAGUAGUUUGUAGAAUCUCAGUACUUCUUGAUCUCAGCUGAUCUGCCUAGAUUCCCACGUCAGAGAGGAUUGAGAACUCCCUACCGGAUCCUGGUCUCAGCAAGUCACAGCAGUGGAGCACCUGCUUGGCUAUGACCACACCGGCAGUUCACUCUUAACUUCAGAAACUAUUAUUGGUGUUGAAAUACACAGAUACGAUGGAGAAAGCUAUGCACCAGUGGAAGGUAUGACACUGGCAGCAGGUAAUACAUUCAGUGCCUCUAGUGCCCAAGUGUCCCUCCAUCAUGGCAGCUGCUGGAUUCCAGGGCCUGUCCAAGAGGAGCCCACAGAAGGACAUCAACACCCAGGACUCAGCCCAUGAACUUGAAUCCCAGCCCCAUUCAUAUAUUUCUUAUCCUCUAAACCUCACUCUCCUCACAUGUUAAAUGGGAAACUUUCAAAGAGG